This 90-nucleotide transfer RNA is filed under the name Candidatus Melainabacteria bacterium. Its description in RNAcentral is "tRNA-Ser". It matches the Rfam family "tRNA". From Rfam's summary of the family: Transfer RNA (tRNA) molecules are approximately 80 nucleotides in length. Their secondary structure includes four short double-helical elements and three loops (D, anti-codon, and T loops). Further hydrogen bonds mediate the characteristic L-shaped molecular structure. tRNAs have two regions of fundamental functional importance: the anti-codon, which is responsible for specific mRNA codon recognition, and the 3' end, to which the tRNAs corresponding amino acid is attached (by aminoacyl-tRNA synthetases). tRNAs cope with the degeneracy of the genetic code in two manners: having more than one tRNA (with a specific anti-codon) for a particular amino acid; and 'wobble' base-pairing, i.e. permitting non-standard base-pairing at the 3rd anti-codon position. Lineage: Bacteria; Bacillati; Candidatus Melainabacteria. The record is from RNAcentral.
GGAGACGUGGCCGAGUCGGCUGAAGGCGGCACCCUGCUAAGGUGUUAUAUGGAGUAAUCUGUAUCCAGGGUUCGAAUCCCUGCGUCUCCG